Small nucleolar RNA from Caenorhabditis elegans, 122 nucleotides. Lineage: Eukaryota; Metazoa; Nematoda; Chromadorea; Rhabditida; Rhabditidae. The record is from Ensembl.
GCUCUUGUUGACGCACUUUCAGUGCCUUGCGCACUUGGCGACGCGAAUCCUUUAUUUUGUCAUCACUUCGCUCGGAAAACGAGUUUAGAAAAGGUCGUGCCGUGAGGCUCGACAUUAUUUUU